GACGUAGGGUGCGAGCGUUGUCCGGAUUUAUUGGGCGUAAAGAGCUCGUAGGCGGUCUGUCGCGUCGAAUGUGAAAACCCGGGGCUCAACUCCGGGCUUGCAUUCGAUACGGGCAGGCUAGAGUUCGGUAGGGGAGUCUGGAAUUCCUGGUGUAGCGGUGAAAUGCGCAGAUAUCAGGAGGAACACCGGUGGCGAAGGCGGGACUCUGGGCCGAUACUGACGCUGAGACGCGAAAGCGUGGGGAGCGAACAGG
This 253-nucleotide ribosomal RNA is filed under the name uncultured bacterium. RNAcentral describes it as "partial 16S ribosomal RNA". It matches the Rfam family "Bacterial small subunit ribosomal RNA", at positions 524 to 776 of the family's 1533-position model. The record is from RNAcentral.